Molecule: ribosomal RNA, 571 nt
Filed under: Staphylococcus aureus
Lineage: Bacteria; Bacillati; Bacillota; Bacilli; Caryophanales; Staphylococcaceae
Description: partial 23S ribosomal RNA
Rfam family: Bacterial large subunit ribosomal RNA
Source: RNAcentral
UAAGGGCGCACGGUGGAUGCCUUGGCACUAGAAGCCGAUGAAGGACGUUACUAACGACGAUAUGCUUUGGGGAGCUGUAAGUAAGCUUUGAUCCAGAGAUUUCCGAAUGGGGAAACCCAGCAUGAGUUAUGUCAUGUUAUCGAUAUGUGAAUACAUAGCAUAUCAGAAGGCACACCCGGAGAACUGAAACAUCUUAGUACCCGGAGGAAGAGAAAGAAAAUUCGAUUCCCUUAGUAGCGGCGAGCGAAACGGGAAGAGCCCAAACCAACAAGCUUGCUUGUUGGGGUUGUAGGACACUCUAUACGGAGUUACAAAGGACGACAUUAGACGAAUCAUCUGGAAAGAUGAAUCAAAGAAGGUAAUAAUCCUGUAGUCGAAAAUGUUGUCUCUCUUGAGUGGAUCCUGAGUACGACGGAGCACGUGAAAUUCCGUCGGAAUCUGGGAGGACCAUCUCCUAAGGCUAAAUACUCUCUAGUGACCGAUAGUGAACCAGUACCGUGAGGGAAAGGUGAAAAGCACCCCGGAAGGGGAGUGAAAUAGAACCUGAAACCGUGUGCUUACAAGUAGUCAG